GUGCACUUGUGCACACUAGCACAGAGGGAAAAGGUAGGAAAAGAAAGUAGAUUUGGAUUCUGCUGCAUGGGAAACUACCAUAUGAUUACUGGGUUCGAGCCCAUUCAUUGGGCCCAAAUUAGCAACCACUUGUAAUCAACCAUCAGCCUUUAGAGUGUAAUGUACAAUACUAGCCAUGGGGCAAUUGCUUCUUGGAAUAAUGUAUUCAUCUCUUGAGUUAAAGGUAAACAACCACCACAGAUGCAGGAAUCUGACAGAUUAUGAAUCUGCUGCUAAUACUGCUGACUUCAGUCCCAGGCUACUCUGCCAUGAUCCAGAAAUAUGCCAAGUCUGCUCCAGGAAGCUGCUGAAUCAGGAAUCCACCUACCACAUUGGGCAGUCACUGCUAGCUGCCACCUCGGCCUUGAUCCUCGCCAGCAAAAUAUAUGCCUCAAACUUGGCUUUUUUCGUCUGUUUGAUUCAGAUUCUAAACAUUCUUGCAGGAGUAUGAAGGAACGUAAAUCAUGUUCUAGCCUCCAAUGUGUCUGAGAAAUGUAGUUUAACUUUCCAGCUGCUUCAUGUUACCGGUAGGUUAGAAUGGAUGUUGUAUAAAGCAAUUUAGGGUAUUGGACACAGCAUAAUAACGAAAAGACAGGUUCCAUUAAGACAAAUUCUUUGGUGUUUCCAAACCUUCCGUGAGCUAUCAGGAAGAGAAAGUCCUCGUAUAAGUGCCACAAAAUGAUAUACAAAUAAAAAUAAUUGUAUGCAUGCUUCCUUUCCAUCCAU
This 765-nucleotide long non-coding RNA is filed under the name Homo sapiens (human). Its description in RNAcentral is "HSALNT0271170". The record is from RNAcentral. Lineage: Eukaryota; Metazoa; Chordata; Mammalia; Primates; Hominidae.